GUAGGGGGCAAGCGUUGUCCGGAUUUAUUGGGCGUAAAGAGCUCGUAGGCUGCUUGGUAAGUUGGGUGUGAAAUUUCGAGGCUCAACCUCGAAACGCCACUCGAUACUGCCAUGGCUUGAGUCCGGUAGAGGAGUGCGGAAUUCCUGGUGUAGCGGUGAAAUGCGCAGAUAUCAGGAGGAACACCUGCGGCGAAGGCGGCACUCUGGGCCGGUACUGACGCUGAGGAGCGAAAGCGUGGGGGAUCAAACAGGAUUAGAUACCCUGGUAGUCCACGCCGUAAACGUUGGGCACUAGGUGUGGGGCGUUAUCAACGCGUUCCGUGCCGUAGCUAACGCAUUAAGUGCCCCCGCCUGGGGAGUACGGCCGCAAGGCUA
RNAcentral lists this ribosomal RNA (375 nucleotides) under uncultured organism. RNAcentral describes it as "partial 16S ribosomal RNA". It matches the Rfam family "Bacterial small subunit ribosomal RNA", at positions 527 to 896 of the family's 1533-position model. The record is from RNAcentral.